UGACCAUCCUCGAGAGAACGUAAAGAGGAUUAAGGCCAGACGGACAGCCGGGUCAAAAGCCGA
RNAcentral lists this small RNA (63 nucleotides) under unclassified sequences. RNAcentral's name for it is "Streptococcus sRNA SpF59 (ldcC RNA)". It matches the Rfam family "Streptococcus sRNA SpF59 (ldcC RNA)". The record is from Rfam by way of RNAcentral.